RNAcentral lists this ribosomal RNA (850 nucleotides) under Streptomyces sp. P-XL. RNAcentral describes it as "bacterial SSU rRNA". It matches the Rfam family "Bacterial small subunit ribosomal RNA", at positions 56 to 927 of the family's 1533-position model. The record is from RNAcentral. Lineage: Bacteria; Bacillati; Actinomycetota; Actinomycetes; Kitasatosporales; Streptomycetaceae.
UGCAGUCGACGAUGACGCCCUUCGGGGUGGAUUAGUGGCGAACGGGUGAGUAACACGUGGGCAAUCUGCCCUGCACUCUGGGACAAGCCCUGGAAACGGGGUCUAAUACCGGAUAUGACCAUCUUGGGCAUCCUUGAUGGUGUAAAGCUCCGGCGGUGCAGGAUGAGCCCGCGGCCUAUCAGCUUGUUGGUGAGGUAACGGCUCACCAAGGCGACGUCGGGUAGCCGGCCUGAGAGGGCGACCGGCCACACUGGGACUGAGACACGGCCCAGACUCCUACGGGAGGCAGCAGUGGGGAAUAUUGCACAAUGGGCGAAAGCCUGAUGCAGCGACGCCGCGUGAGGGAUGACGGCCUUCGGGUUGUAAACCUCUUUCAGCAGGGAAGAGAGCGAGAGUGACGGUACCUGCAGAAGAAGCGGCGGCUAACUACGUGCCAGCAGCCGCGGUAAUACGUAGGGCGCAAGCGUUGUCCGGAAUUAUUGGGCGUAAAGAGCUCGUAGGCGGCUUGUCACGUCGGUUGUGAAAGCCCGGGGCUUAACCCCGGGUCUGCAGUCGAUACGGGCAGGCUAGAGUUCGGUAGGGGGAGAUCGGGAUUCCUGGUGUAGCGGUGAAAUGCGCAGAUAUCAGGAGGAACACCGGUGGCGAAGGCGGAUCUCUGGGCCGAUACUGACGCUGAGGAGCGAAAGCGUGGGGAGCGAACAGGAUUAGAUACCCUGGUAGUCCACGCUGUAAACGGUGGGCACUAACUGUGGGCAACAUUCCACGUUGUCCGUGCCGCAGCUACGCAUUAAGUGCCCGCCUGGGGAGUACGGCCGCAUGCUAAACUCAAGGAAUUGACGGGGUCCGCACA